RNAcentral lists this ribosomal RNA (459 nucleotides) under uncultured bacterium. RNAcentral describes it as "partial 16S ribosomal RNA". It matches the Rfam family "Bacterial small subunit ribosomal RNA", at positions 338 to 795 of the family's 1533-position model. The record is from RNAcentral.
CCUACGGGAGGCAGUAGUGAGGAAUAUUGGUCAAUGGGAGAGAUCCUGAACCAGCCAAGCCGCGUGAGGGAAGACGGCCCUAUGGGUUGUAAACCUCUUUUGUCGGAGAACAAAACCCGGGACGUGUCCCGGACUGCGUGUAUCCGAAGAAAAAGCAUCGGCUAACUCCGUGCCAGCAGCCGCGGUAAUACGGAGGAUGCGAGCGUUAUCCGGAUUUAUUGGGUUUAAAGGGUGCGUAGGCGGUCCGUUAAGUCAGCGGUAAAAUUGCGGGGCUCAACCCCGUCGAGCCGUUGAAACUGGCAGUCUUGAGUACAGUAGAGGUGGGCGGAAUUCGUGGUGUAGCGGUGAAAUGCUUAGAUAUCACGAAGAACUCCGAUUGCGAAGGCAGCUCACUGGACUGCAACUGACACUGAGGCUCGAAAGUGUGGGUAUCAAACAGGAUUAGAUACCCUAGUAGUC